AGUCAUAUCUACCCGUACCGCAAACCGACACAGGUAGUCGAGGCGAGUAGCCUCAGGUGAUCGAGAGAACUCUCGUUAAGGAACUCGGCAAAAUAGCCCCGUAACUUCGGGAGAAGGGGUGCUGGUGUAAAAGCCAGCCGCAGUGAAUAGGCCCAAGCGACUGUUUAGCAAAAACACAGCUCUCUGCUAAACCGCAAGGUGAUGUAUAGGGGGUGACGCCUGCCCGGUGCUGGAAGGU
Molecule: ribosomal RNA, 238 nt
Filed under: Bacillus thuringiensis
Lineage: Bacteria; Bacillati; Bacillota; Bacilli; Caryophanales; Bacillaceae
Description: partial 23S ribosomal RNA
Rfam family: Bacterial large subunit ribosomal RNA
Source: RNAcentral